AUACUCAGGAGAGUCUCUCCUGCAGAAACGCACCGGACAGACGGCUGCGGGCAUCUGCUGGAGGGCGCCGAAGGUGUAAGCGGUAUUUGGCGGAGAGAUCCGCCAGAGAUACCGUGAGUCUCUCAGGCAAAAGGAUGGAGGUAUAA
Molecule: non-coding RNA, 146 nt
Filed under: uncultured Mediterraneibacter sp.
Lineage: Bacteria; Bacillati; Bacillota; Clostridia; Lachnospirales; Lachnospiraceae
Description: Glycine riboswitch
Rfam family: Glycine riboswitch aptamer
About the family: This family represents the bacterial glycine riboswitch. Glycine riboswitches usually consist of two metabolite-binding aptamers domains with similar structures in tandem. The aptamers cooperatively bind glycine to regulate the expression of downstream genes.
Source: RNAcentral